This 491-nucleotide ribosomal RNA is filed under the name uncultured bacterium. RNAcentral describes it as "bacterial SSU rRNA". It matches the Rfam family "Bacterial small subunit ribosomal RNA", at positions 29 to 513 of the family's 1533-position model. The record is from RNAcentral.
AACGAACGCUGGCGGCGCGCCUAAUACAUGCAAGUCGAACGAGAAGCUGUAGCAAUACAGUUGUACAGUGGCGAACGGGUGAGGAAUACAUGGGUGACCUACCCUCGAGUGGGGAAUAACCAGCCGAAAGGUUGGCUAAUACCGCGUACGCUUCCCAGUCUACGGGUUGGGAAGGAAAGCGAUGCCGUGGGUAUCGCGCUCAAGGUUGGGCUCAUGUCCUAUCAGCUUGUUGGGGGGUAACGGCUCACCAAGGCAACGACGGGUAGCUGGUCUGAGAGGACGAUCAGCCACACUGGCACUGCGACACGGGCCAGACUCCUACGGGAGGCAGCAGUAAGGAAUAUUGCGCAAUGGGGCGAAAGCCUGACGCAGCGACGCCGCGUGGGGGAUGAAGGUCUUCGGAUUGUAAACCCCUUUCGGGAGGGAAGAUGGAACGAGCAAUCGUUCGGACGGUACCUCCAGAAGCAGCCACGGCUAACUUCGUGCCAGCA